UAGGGAAUCUUCGGCAAUGGGGGGAACCCUGACCGAGCAACGCCGCGUGAGUGAAGAAGGUUUUCGGAUCGUAAAGCUCUGUUGUUAAGGAAGAACGAGUGUGAGAAUGGAAAGUUCAUACUGUGACGGUACUUAACCAGAAAGGGACGGCUAACUACGUGCCAGCAGCCGCGGUAAUACGUAGGUCCCGAGCGUUGUCCGGAUUUAUUGGGCGUAAAGCGAGCGCAGGCGGUUAGAUACGUCUGAAGUUAAAGGCAGUGGCUCAACCAUUGUAGGCUUUGGAAACUGUUUAACUUGAGUGCAGAAGGGGAGAGUGAAAUUCCCUGUGUAGGGGUGAAAUGCGUAGAUAUAUGGAGGAACACCGGUGGCGAAAGCGGCUCUCUGGUCUGUAACUGACGCUGAGGCUCGAAAGCGUGGGGAGCGAACAGG
RNAcentral lists this ribosomal RNA (429 nucleotides) under Bacteroidota bacterium. RNAcentral's name for it is "Bacteroidetes bacterium partial 16S ribosomal RNA". It matches the Rfam family "Bacterial small subunit ribosomal RNA", at positions 355 to 776 of the family's 1533-position model. Lineage: Bacteria; Pseudomonadati; Bacteroidota. The record is from RNAcentral.